Pogoniulus pusillus (Red-fronted tinkerbird) is the source of this 1326-nucleotide long non-coding RNA. RefSeq lists it as uncharacterized. The transcript has 2 exons. NCBI's taxonomy places the organism in Eukaryota, Metazoa, Chordata, Aves, Piciformes, Lybiidae. The record is from RefSeq and is a predicted model, not a curated record.
AACAGCCUGCGGGUCUGUCCCAGUAAAACCAGGACAGAUGGAAAGCAAAGUCUCCUCUGGACACACCAGAGCUGAUGCCAGCCUUCACACCCAGGGCACAGCGGCAGGCACUGCUCUGCAGGAGCUGGGAACUGAAACUUUCUGGAGCCCCUGUGGGGUGUGAGAAGAAUCCACCCUCCACAGCUGCUGGUGGAAACUGGUGCCAACUUCCCCCUGCUCUGUGUGACGAGCAAAGGGCCAGGGCUCCUCUUUUCCACUGACUCACGCCCCUGGCUGCAGACAGCUUCUGAGCCCUUCCAAAUUUAGUGAGAUUUGUGGUAGAGUUUUUAAAUCAUUCAUCAAAUUACUUCUGCAGAUAAUUAUGAGCUUGUUGCUCAUUUAUUAGCAGUAGGCUGUAAUUAUUCAGUAUCCAGAUGAUUUGCUGCGUGGAUCACAUGGUGUUGAGUGUCCCAGAUGAGUACAAGGCUCACAACUGGGAUUUUCAGAUCUUCCAUUUUAUUACUGAGCCUACCCAUUCCCAAGUGGCUGCUGCCUUGGAGGAGGAACCCUCCUUUGGACACAUUGUGCAAGAUUGGAGCAUUUCACUUUCAGCUUUUCAUUCAGCUCCUUGAUUCUAGACAUGAACCAACAGGCUGCAGGAGAUGGCACCCGCAGGCACACACACACGUGCACCUUCCCCAGCUGCCUGGGCACGGCUGGCAGUGCCCAGAACCAGCAACCACAAGUCUUUACUCCUCACUUCCAGCGCUUAAACAAACCAUUCUCGAGCAGAGAGUCCUCCUUCCCACUGUAGGGACCAGACACUAGAGGGCUACUAACAAUAGACCCUGAUUGCUGAUUAAUUGCUGUUGGAUCUGUCUGUCCUCAGCGCACUGCGAGCUGUUCUGCUGGCACCUAUGGUGUGACCUGAGCCAGCCAGGUCUGUCCCCACACCAACAUCCCACGCUGCAAAAGCCUCCAGGCUGACCUUCUGCAAGUUUUGCAGACAGGUUUUCAGUUGCUCUUUGAUCCAAACACUUUCAGGCCAGCACAACCCUCCAAGGGGAUGCAGAAGGAGCAUUGAGAUGAGCCCACUUACAAUUUGGGGAGCUGCUGGUGCUCACUGGGCAUCUCCCUGUCCUGGCCAUGCCUGAAGAGGGAAGUCCUGAGUAGGGACAUGGUUGAUGCCUCCAUGUGAGCCAGGGUGGCAAAGAUCCACCAGCUCAAACACUACGCACCACAACCACAGCCCCAGCUGCCCUUGGCCUGUGUUGGCUGUGCUGCAUGGAGCACUAAGGCAGACAGACUUCAGCUUGGCUGGGUCCAUCCCUAACCACAAAGGAUUAC